ACAGACGCUGGGAGCGGCCGAGGCGAGUGAUUUCUUCUGACUUGAGCCUGCAGUGUGCUGUGAGAGAUCCACCACCAGAUUAUCUCAACUUUAUUCUCCUGGGACCACUCAUUGGUGACAGUCAGAAAGGAGAAAAGGGAAUUUUUAAAAGGAGAAUGAAAGUGUCCUUGUCUCUAGAACUGAAGCAACUUGGAGGAAUGAGUGGUCUUUGUUUAGUGAGUGAGUUCUCGUGAGAUCUGAUGGUUUUAUAAGGGGCUUUUACCCCUUUUGCUCAGCACUUCUCCUUCCUGCCAUCAUGUGAAGAAGGGCAUGUUUGCUUCCCCUUCUACCAUGAUUGUAAGUUUCCUGAGGCCUCCCCAGCCAUGCUGAACUCUCUCUUUCUUUAAAUGAGAUAUGGUGGUGCAUGAUCAAAGCAGGGGACUUGGAGUCUGGUGUGCCUGUAUUCAAAUCUGACUGCACCACUUACUGUCUGCCAGAUCUUGGAUAAAUUAUUUAAUCUCCCUAAACCUCAGUGCCCUCAUCUGUGAAGUGAGGUGAGU
Molecule: small RNA, 539 nt
Filed under: Pongo abelii (Sumatran orangutan)
Lineage: Eukaryota; Metazoa; Chordata; Mammalia; Primates; Hominidae
Description: processed transcript
Source: RNAcentral